Molecule: ribosomal RNA, 492 nt
Filed under: uncultured bacterium
Lineage: Bacteria
Description: bacterial SSU rRNA
Rfam family: Bacterial small subunit ribosomal RNA
Source: RNAcentral
CGAGUUUUGAUCAUGGCUCAGAAUGAACGUUGGCGGCGUGGAUUAGGCAUGCAAGUCGAGCGAGAAUUUGCGAUUGGAAGCUUCGGCCGAAGAAAGUGAAGGAAAGCGGCAAACGGCGUAGUAAGGCGUAGGUACGUACCCUCGGGUCGGGAAUAGCCAUGGGAAACUGUGGGUAAUGCCCGAUAAUCUCUGCGGAGCAAAGGUGUGAUUCCGCCGGAGGAGCGGCUUACGUGAUAUUAGCUAGUUGGUGGGGUAAUGGCCUACCAAGGCAACGAUGUCUAGGGGGUGUGAGAGCAUGGCCCCCACGACCGGAACUGAGACACUGUCCGGACACCUACGGGUGGCUGCAGUCGAGAAUCUUCCGCAAUGGGCGAAAGCCUGACGGAGCGACGCCGCGUGGUGGAUGAAGGCCCUUGGGUUGUAAACACCUGUCAGGGGGGAUGAAAGCGCAAGCUUGACAGAGCCCCAGAGGAAGCACGGGCUAAGUUCGUG